CCUACGGGGGGCAGCAGUGGGGAAUGUUGCGCAAUGAUCGUAAGAGUGACGCAGCGACGCCGCGUGAAUGACGAAGGCCUUCGGGUCGUAAAGUUCUUUCGACAGGGAAGAAAAUGCAUAUAAGUAACUGUGUAUGUAUUGACGGUACCUGUAUAAGCAGCCCCGGCUAACUCCGUGCCAGCAGCCGCGGUAAUACGGAGGGGGCGAGCGUUGUUCGGAGGGACUGGGCGUAAAGAGCACGUAGGCGGUGUUGUAAGUCAUUAGUCAAAGACUAGAGCUCAACUUUAGUAAGGCUAGUGAUACUAUAAUACUAGAGUAUCAGAGAGGAUUGCAGAAUUCCUGGUGUAGCGGUGAAAUGCGUAGAUAUCAGGAGGAAUACCGUUAGCGAAGGCGGCAAUCUGGCUGGAAACUGACGCUGAGGUGCGAAAGCGUGGGUAGCAAACAGGAUUAGAUACCCCUGUAGUC
This 465-nucleotide ribosomal RNA is filed under the name uncultured bacterium. RNAcentral describes it as "partial 16S ribosomal RNA". It matches the Rfam family "Bacterial small subunit ribosomal RNA", at positions 338 to 795 of the family's 1533-position model. The record is from RNAcentral.